ACCGCUUUGUGUUCCGCCAUCUAACGGCGCCGCCAUCACUGCGGUGGCAAGUCGUAGUGACUCUACUGUCUGCUAACUGAUUAACUAGUGACUU
This is a long non-coding RNA of Sebastes umbrosus (honeycomb rockfish), 94 nucleotides long. RefSeq lists it as uncharacterized. The record is from RefSeq and is a predicted model, not a curated record. NCBI's taxonomy places the organism in Eukaryota, Metazoa, Chordata, Actinopteri, Perciformes, Sebastidae. The transcript is spliced from 3 exons.